CCUACGGGAGGCAGCAGUGGGGAAUAUUGCGCAAUGGGCGCAAGCCUGACGCAGCGACGCCGCGUGAGUGAUGAAGGUCUUCGGAUCGUAAACCUCUGUCAGCAGGGAGGAACGGUCACUGUGCUAAUCAGCAGUGAAUUGACGGUACCUGCAGAGGAAGCACCGGCUAACUCCGUGCCAGCAGCCGCGGUAAUACGGAGGGUGCGAGCGUUAAUCGGAAUUACUGGGCGUAAAGCGCUCGUAGGCGGUAUGUCAAGUCGAGGGUGAAAUACCCGGGCUUAACUUGGGGGUUGCAUGGGAAACUGUAGAGCUUGAGUACAGGAGAGGCAAGCAGAAUUCCUAGUGUAGCGGUGAAAUGCAUAGAUAUUAGGAGGAACACCAGUGGCGAAGGCGGCUUGCUGGACUGAAACUGACGCUGAGGCUCGAAAGCGUGGGGAGCAAACAGGAUUAGAUACCCCAGUAGUC
This 465-nucleotide ribosomal RNA is filed under the name uncultured bacterium. RNAcentral's name for it is "partial 16S ribosomal RNA". It matches the Rfam family "Bacterial small subunit ribosomal RNA", at positions 338 to 795 of the family's 1533-position model. The record is from RNAcentral.